Molecule: ribosomal RNA, 253 nt
Filed under: uncultured bacterium
Lineage: Bacteria
Description: partial 16S ribosomal RNA
Rfam family: Bacterial small subunit ribosomal RNA
Source: RNAcentral
UACGUAGGGUGCAGGCGUUAAUCGGAAUUACUGGGCGUAAAGUGUGCGCAGGCGGCUUCGCAAGUCGAGUGUGAAAUCCCCGAGCUUAACUUGGGAAUUGCGCUCGAAACUACGGAGCUGGAGUGUGGCAGAGGAAGGUGGAAUUCCACGUGUAGCGGUGAAAUGCGUAGAGAUGUGGAGGAACACCGAUGGCGAAGGCAGCCUUCUGGGCCAACACUGACGCUCAUGCACGAAAGCGUGGGGAGCAAACAGG